RNAcentral lists this long non-coding RNA (1392 nucleotides) under Malus domestica (apple). RNAcentral describes it as "long non-coding RNA (MDOM_LNC001922)". The record is from RNAcentral. Lineage: Eukaryota; Viridiplantae; Streptophyta; Magnoliopsida; Rosales; Rosaceae.
UUGGUUCACCAUAUACUAGGCUUUGAAAGUCAUGGGUUUUAUGAAUUGUUUUUGGAUGCAUGUCUACUUUAAAGUGCUGAUAGCUUGCAUGUGUAUUCAAAUGUUCAUACUUGUUCUUAGCUAGGACAAAUGUUUUCCUUCAAGUGGUAUCAGAGCCUAGGCCUAGUGUAUGGUGAAUCCUUUUGGGUUUUGUGAUGUUCAUAUUUUGUGAUUUAAAUGUUGUAAAUGUUACAAGCUUUGUUCUUGCUUUUGAAUAUAUAAAUUUUGCUAGAAAAUUUAGCAUCUCAAAUGUUGUAGAUGUAUUUCAUUUAAGCAUAAAUAUUGGAACUAAAAUUUGGUGCCAUGAGUUUUGGGAAAUUCGGCCAAAUCCUUAGGGUGAUUUUUUGGGUUCAUGUUUGUCUUGUUAAAAUGGUUUUAAGGUGACUUUUGGAACCCCUUAGUACCCUAGGAUAUUAGCCCUCUUUUGAGAGGUGAAAAAUUGAGUUUUGGUGAAUGAAAACAUCCAUGGAACUAUUAUGAGUUUUCAUGGUGUUCUUCAUUGUUCUUGGUGUUCUUGCCAAGAACAUAAAGUUUUGAAGUUUUGAUUCAAAAAUUUUAUGUUUUUCAUAAAGUUUUGGUAUAUAAUUGAUUUAUUAUUUGAUGGGUGAUGUUAUUGGUGAGAUGUGAUGAAAUGUUUUAAUGUUUUGUCAUAAACUUUAAGUUUUUCUUACAAACCAUCACCUUCACCUUUAACCUCACCUAAUAAAAUCAACUUGCAAAAACUUUUUAGAAUUUUUUUCAAUUUUUCAUUAAAUGGCCGGCCACCCCUAGUGGGGGUGCUUUUGGGGCCUUUUGUGCAAUUACAUAAAGUUUUAGAUACUUUUGUGUAUUUGCAUUUUGGCCCAAAAGUUUACGUUUUUACGUUUAGGCUUAAAAACUCUAAAGGACAAAUUGUUUUGAUCCUUUAAUGAUGUUUUUACAUUAUUAAAAUUUUGGGAUCUAGUUGUAUUUACAUGAAGUUGUGGACUAUUGUGUUUAUACAAAGUGACCCCAAAAGUUUUGGUAUUUGCAUUAUGGCCCAAUUGUUGUGGUCAUAGUUUCCUUUUGGCCCAAAUAAAAUGAGAACAAAAUUGUUUUGUCUCUUUAAUGAGAAUUGGAUUUUCAUUUCAUUUAGUUCCACUUAAAUCAAUUCUAUGGAUCCAAAAACCAAUUGUUUAAAGUUGUUUUCUUAGUUAAUGUGAUUGAUUAAGAAAAGGGUGAUUAUGAACCAAAGGCCACGAUAAUUGAGCUAUGUGAUUGGCCGAUAUACAUUUUGAAUGUUUGGGUUUUUUAGUAGUAUAGAUUUGAAUGUAAUUUGAUUAAUUCAAUUUGUUGUAAAUGGACAUAAGUCCAUCAUUUGAUUUGUGUUGUAAA